GUGUUGCGUCCUUUUGGACGUUUCCUCCCUAGACUUCGGGCCACUCCCUUGGGGGUGGCCUCUUUUAUUCCCGUG
This 75-nucleotide small RNA is filed under the name Methylobacterium pseudosasicola. RNAcentral's name for it is "suhB". It matches the Rfam family "Makes More Granules Regulator RNA (mmgR)". Rfam says of the family: SuhB later renamed mmgR (makes more granules regulator) was a putative non-coding RNA found multiple times in the Agrobacterium tumefaciens genome and related alpha-proteobacteria. Lineage: Bacteria; Pseudomonadati; Pseudomonadota; Alphaproteobacteria; Hyphomicrobiales; Methylobacteriaceae. The record is from RNAcentral.